AACGAACGCUGGCGGCAUGCCUAACACUUGCAAGUCGAACGAUGCCUUCGGGCAUAGUGGCGCACGGGUGCGUAACGCGUGGGAAUCUGCCCUUGGCUUCGGAAUAACAGUUAGAAAUGACUGCUAAUACCGGAUGAUGUCCCCCUGAGAGAUCUUGGGGGCCAAAGAUUUAUCGGCCAGGGAUGAGCCCGCGUAGGAUUAGGUAGUUGGUGGGGUAAAGGCCUACCAAGCCGACGAUCCUUAGCUGGUCUGAGAGGAUGAUCAGCCACACUGGGACUGAAACACGGCCCAGACUCCUACGGGAGGCAGCAGUGGGGAAUAUUGGACAAUGGGGGGAACCCUGAUCCAGCAAUGCCGCGUGAGUGAUGAAGGCCUUAGGGUUGUAAAGCUCUUUUACCAGGGAUGAUAAUGACAGUACCUGGAGAAUAAGCUCCGGCUAACUCCGUG
Molecule: ribosomal RNA, 447 nt
Filed under: uncultured bacterium
Lineage: Bacteria
Description: partial 16S ribosomal RNA
Rfam family: Bacterial small subunit ribosomal RNA
Source: RNAcentral